UGAGGUUAACACUUUAGAGUUCACUUCACGCCAAACCACCACGUGAGGGUGAACUCAGCCAAUGCCAAGGAACGACUAUGUUUUCAAAAUAAAAACAUGAUUUAUGCGUACAUAACUUUUUAAUAGCCUUGGCGUACUCGGUUGGGAUAGCCCUCGGCCAAGGUACCCCUGACAACUGAGUAUGAGAACGAUUUUGGCACGAGCCAAAGUUUUAAGAAAUUCAUAAGCCAUGUUGAUUACUCGAUUUAUAUGAAUUGAUUUUAUUUGGUUGAAAUGAGUUGAAAGGUGAUGAAUUACAGUAUGUUAAACUAUUUUAUUUGUCUUCAUUUACUCAGCUUUAGAUAUUUUAGAUGGUAUUUGUUUACUCACUGGGAUUUUAUAAUCUAAUCACCUUCCUUUCCACCCAUUUCAGGCUCAGGAUAGUCGGUAGAUAGCUCACUUUGUUGAGGGCUACAGUUGAACUUGCAUCCUCAAAAACUGUAGGUUUAC
This 489-nucleotide long non-coding RNA is filed under the name Theobroma cacao (cacao). RNAcentral's name for it is "long non-coding RNA (TCAC_LNC001126)". Lineage: Eukaryota; Viridiplantae; Streptophyta; Magnoliopsida; Malvales; Malvaceae. The record is from RNAcentral.